RNAcentral lists this ribosomal RNA (253 nucleotides) under uncultured bacterium. RNAcentral describes it as "partial 16S ribosomal RNA". It matches the Rfam family "Bacterial small subunit ribosomal RNA", at positions 524 to 776 of the family's 1533-position model. The record is from RNAcentral.
UACAGAGGGUGCAAGCGUUAAUCGGAAUUACUGGGCGUAAAGCGCGCGUAGGUGGUUUGUUAAGUUGAAUGUGAAAUCCCCGGGCUCAACCUGGGAACUGCAUCCAAAACUGGCAAGCUAGAGUAUGGUAGAGGGGAGUGGAAUUUCCUGUGUAGCGGUGAAAUGCGUAGAUAUAGGAAGGAACACCAGUGGCGAAGGCGACUACCUGGACUGAUACUGACACUGAGGUGCGAAAGCGUGGGGAGCAAACAGG